Long non-coding RNA from Pelmatolapia mariae (spotted tilapia), 668 nucleotides. RefSeq lists it as uncharacterized. The transcript is spliced from 3 exons. The record is from RefSeq and is a predicted model, not a curated record. NCBI's taxonomy places the organism in Eukaryota, Metazoa, Chordata, Actinopteri, Cichliformes, Cichlidae.
CUUCAUUACUCACAAAGGCUCAACGCAGAGUCGUGGGAAGGGCCGUGAAGUUCGCGGUGUUGAACGUCGGGGGGCGGGAACACUAAGGGGUGUGCUGAAGUUUCCCUCAAUGAUGUUCGUUAUCGGUGAGCUGCGCUGAGGUACAUUCACCACCAGAGAACCAGAAGACUGCAGAAGCUGGAUCAAGGAGACUGGGCAGAUCUUUGGAACAGCUUAAAAAAUGAAAUCAGGAGCCUCCACUGAAAAGACUCCAUCGCCUCUGCUUUUAAGCCUGGAUCUCAGAGUCUCCGGGAGCAGCUGGUUCAUAGUCCGCGGUGCUCUGGCAGGAUUAUAGGGUUUCAAAAGUUCUGGCAUCAAAUCAUUGAUACUCUUAAAAACAGAUAAUACCAUUUUAAACUGGAUCCUGAAAUAGACUGGAAGCUAGUGUAAGGAGGCCAGUAGGGGAGAGAGGGGUGACAUGUGCCAGUUUUACUUAAAGUGACUUUAAAGCAAGAACAUGACAGUAAUGCUUCCAACUAAAAUAUGUUCAUAUAUUCAGGAAUCUGUGGGAACGAUCAGUUUGGAUGUGAAAUACAGUAUUUAACAAAUUUAACGUUCUGAAACAAAAAGGUCUUUUUUGGAGAGAAUACCUUUGGGUAAACUGUACAAUUGAUUAUUAAAGUAAAACA